This 277-nucleotide ribosomal RNA is filed under the name uncultured bacterium. RNAcentral's name for it is "partial 16S ribosomal RNA". It matches the Rfam family "Bacterial small subunit ribosomal RNA", at positions 334 to 608 of the family's 1533-position model. The record is from RNAcentral.
GAGCCCUACGGGGGGCAGCAGUGAGGAAUAUUGGUCAAUGGGCGGGAGCCUGAACCAGCCAAGCCGCGUGAAGGAAGAAGGCGCCAAGCGUCGUAAACUUCUUUUGUCGGGGAACAAAGGGCGCCACGUGUGGCGUUGUGAGUGUACCCGAAGAAAAAGCAUCGGCUAACUCCGUGCCAGCAGCCGCGGUAAUACGGAGGAUCCAAGCGUUAUCCGGAUUUAUUGGGUUUAAAGGGUGCGUAGGCGGUUUGAUAAGUUAGAGGUGAAAUACCGGUGC